RNAcentral lists this small nuclear RNA (337 nucleotides) under Mustela putorius furo (domestic ferret). Its description in RNAcentral is "7SK RNA (ENSMPUG00000020846.1)". It matches the Rfam family "7SK RNA". From Rfam's summary of the family: 7SK was discovered as an abundant small nuclear RNA in the mid-70s but a possible function has only recently been suggested. Two independent studies have found that 7SK RNA binds the CDK9/cyclin T complex (known as elongation factor P-TEFb). The record is from Rfam by way of RNAcentral. Lineage: Eukaryota; Metazoa; Chordata; Mammalia; Carnivora; Mustelidae.
GGAUGUGAGGGCAAUCUGGCUGUGACAUCUGUCACCCCACUGAUCACUGGGAUUGAUUCAGCUGAUCUGGCUGGCUAGGCAAGUGUCCCCUUCCUCCCUCACCACACCACUCCUUGUGCAUCCCUCCUGAAGCUGCAGGUUCAGUCAAAGAGGGCAACCUGCCCCAGUAGAGGAGGACUAUUCUUCAGGCAAGGGUAUACAAGUAGCUGUACUCCCCUACUAGAACCUCCAAACAAGCUCUCAAAGUCCAUUUGUAGGCAAAUAUAAGGUAGUAAAGCUUUCAAGACUCUAGACCACAUCCAGAUGUGGCCCUGCAUGUGGCAGUCUGCCUUUCUUU